Molecule: long non-coding RNA, 470 nt
Filed under: Ananas comosus (pineapple)
Lineage: Eukaryota; Viridiplantae; Streptophyta; Magnoliopsida; Poales; Bromeliaceae
Description: long non-coding RNA (ACOM_LNC030797)
Source: RNAcentral
UCUCGAAAUCUUAAUAUUCCAGAGGCAUCAACACUGCACUCCCCUAUCUGCCUACUCUUAAUCUCCGCUCUAACUCUAGUCAAAUACGGAUCUGAACUCUGCUUCUCUUUUAUCCUUUCCAAAAGAGUGGGUUGCAAAACCAUAGACAUAAUUCUUGCAGUAAUCCCAGAGGAUACAAUCUCAAGUCCAAAUCGCCUCAUAUCCUCCAGUAAUGGCGUCUGCCUCGUAAUCAUCAUGCUCAAACUCUCUAUCAAUUUACGGCUCAAUGCAUCAGUCACUCCACCAUCUCCCCACUCCUCUCCCACUUCUCCAUCAUUUCAUCCACUUCUCCACCAUUCCCUUCACUUCUCCAUCAUUUCAUCCACUUCUCCACUAUUCACUCUACUUCUCCACCAUUCCCACCACCCUCUCUCUAUAUAAAGAAAAGCGAAUAUAAAAAAGAGAGAGGAUUGUACUCACAAAAAAAAAAA